Molecule: ribosomal RNA, 644 nt
Filed under: uncultured bacterium
Lineage: Bacteria
Description: bacterial SSU rRNA
Rfam family: Bacterial small subunit ribosomal RNA
Source: RNAcentral
CGCGGCCUAUCAGCUUGUUGGUGGGGUAGUGGCCUACCAAGGCGGCGACGGGUAGCCGGCCUGAGAGGGUGACCGGCCGCAUUGGGACUGAGAUACGGCCCAGACUCCUACGGGAGGCAGUAGUGGGGAAUAUUGCACAAUGGGCGCAAGCCUGAUGCAGCAACGCCGCGUGCGGGAUGACGGCCUUCGGGUUGUAAACCGCUUUCAGCAGGGACGAAGCUUUUUGUGACGGUACCUGCAGAAGAAGCACCGGCUAACUACGUGCCAGCAGCCGCGGUGAUACGUAGGGUGCGAGCGUUGUCCGGAUUUAUUGGGCGUAAAGGGCUUGUAGGCGGUUGAUCGCGUCGGAAGUGGAAACUUGAUGCUUAACGUUGAGCGUGCUUUCGAUACGGGUUGACUUGAGGAAGGUAGGGGAGAAUGGAAUUCCUGGUGGAGCGGUGGAAUGCGCAGAUAUCAGGAGGAACACCAGUGGCGAAGGCGGUUCUCUGGACCUUUCCUGACGCUGAGGAGCGAAAGCGUGGGGAGCGAACAGGCUUAGAUACCCUGGUAGUCCACGCUGUAAACGGUGGGUACUAGGUGUGGGGUCCAUUCCACGGAUUCUGUGCCGUAGCUAACGCAUUAAGUACCCCGCCUGGGGAGUACGG